GAGUUUCUGAGUCAUAUGUGAAGUUUUGUAUUAUCUCAGAUUGGUUAUUGCCAAUUCUGUCAGAAAGUGAUUGUUUUUCUGAUGUUGUUCUAGGUUGGUUAUUUUCAGUUGUUUCUGGCCUAUCCAGAGCAACUUUGGAUUGAUUUUCUGUUAUAAUUUCAGACUGGUCAGGCUUAUCAUUUUCAGCUAUAUCUGGCAUGUCUGAAUAUUGAUUUUCUGGUAUGAUAUCAGGCUGGCCAGACUGAUUAUUU
RNAcentral lists this long non-coding RNA (251 nucleotides) under Zostera marina. RNAcentral's name for it is "long non-coding RNA (ZMAR_LNC003024)". The record is from RNAcentral. Lineage: Eukaryota; Viridiplantae; Streptophyta; Magnoliopsida; Alismatales; Zosteraceae.